AGAGUUUGAUUAUGGCUCAGGAUGAACGCUAGCGGCAGGCCUAAUACAUGCAAGUCGAACGGGAUUUGAGUAGCAAUACUUAAUGAGAGUGGCGCACGGGUGCGUAACGCGUAUGCGACCUACCUUUAACAGGGGGAUAGCUCCGAGAAAUCGAAAUUAAUACCCCAUAGAAUUAUUGAUUGGCAUCAAUUAAUAAUUAAAGCUCCGGCGGUUAAAGAUGGGCAUGCGUGCCAUUAGCUAGUUGGUGAGGUAACGGCUCACCAAGGCAACGAUGGCUAGGGGUUCUGAGAGGAUUAUCCCCCACACUGGUACUGAGACACGGACCAGACUCCUACGGGAGGCAGCAGUAAGGAAUAUUGGGCAAUGGACGCAAGUCUGACCCAGCCAUGCCGCGUGCAGGAAGACAGCCCUAUGGGUUGUAAACUGCUUUUGUCAGGGAAUAACCCCCCGGAUGUAUCCGGGGCUGAAUGUACCUGAAGAAUAAGCAUCGGCUAACUCCGUGCCAGCAGCCGCGGUAAUACGGAGGAUGCGAGCGUUAUCCGGAUUCAUUGGGUUUAAAGGGUGCGCAGGCGGAUUAUUAAGUCAGUGGUGAAAUCCUACAGCUCAACUGUAGAACUGCCAUUGAUACUGAUAAUCUUGAGUGUAUAUGAAGUGGGCGGAAUGUAGCAUGUAGCGGUGAAAUGCAUAGAUAUGCUACAGAACACCAAUUGCGAAGGCAGCUCACUAAACUACAACUGACGCUCAUGCACGAAAGCGUGGGGAUCAAACAGGAUUAGAUACCCUGGUAGUC
RNAcentral lists this ribosomal RNA (790 nucleotides) under uncultured Bacteroidota bacterium. Its description in RNAcentral is "bacterial SSU rRNA". It matches the Rfam family "Bacterial small subunit ribosomal RNA", at positions 8 to 795 of the family's 1533-position model. The record is from RNAcentral. Lineage: Bacteria; Pseudomonadati; Bacteroidota.